RNAcentral lists this ribosomal RNA (567 nucleotides) under uncultured bacterium. RNAcentral describes it as "partial 16S ribosomal RNA". It matches the Rfam family "Bacterial small subunit ribosomal RNA", at positions 355 to 914 of the family's 1533-position model. The record is from RNAcentral.
UGGGGAAUUUUGGACAAUGGGCGAAAGCCUGAUCCAGCAAUGCCGCGUGUGUGAAGAAGGCCUUCGGGUUGUAAAGCACUUUUGUCCGGAAAGAAAUCCUUGGCUCUAAUACAGUCGGGGGAUGACGGUACCGGAAGAAUAAGCACCGGCUAACUACGUGCCAGCAGCCGCGGUAAUACGUAGGGUGCAAGCGUUAAUCGGAAUUACUGGGCGUAAAGCGUGCGCAGGCGGUUUGCUAAGACCGAUGUGAAAUCCCCGGGCUCAACCUGGGAACUGCAUUGGUGACUGGCAGGCUAGAGUAUGGCAGAGGGGGGUAGAAUUCCACGUGUAGCAGCGAAAAUGCGUAGAGAUGUGGAGGAAUACCGAUGGCGAAGGCAGCCCCCUGGGCCAAUACUGACGCUCAUGCACGAAAGCGUGGGGAGCAAACAGGAUUAGAUACCCUGGUAGUCCACGCCCUAAACGAUGUCAACUAGUUGUUGGGGAUUCAUUUCCUUAGUAACGUAGCUAACGCGUGAAGUUGACCGCCUGGGGAGUACGGUCGCAAGAUUAAAACUCAAAUGAAUUGAC